AGGGGGUAUCCUGUUUAUGAAUAAAGACAAGGGAUUGUUCUGGUAUAUCCUGAAGUGCAAAGGGACACACUGGAUCCUUCACUGAGGAGGCAAACUGACACCCUGAUUGUCUCACGAAAGAAGCACUGCAUGGAUUUGGGGAACUAACUAAAGCAAAAAAGAAGCUGAGGAAUGAUAUUGCCAUUUCUUUCCUUGGACAUGUCUCUGAAUCCAUACAUCAGUGAGGAGAACCAGGUAACAAAGAUGAUGUACUAUGAAAGACUGAAGUGACAAAAGAGGAGAUGCAGGAAGAAACUGAUAAAAGCAAACCUGGUUUGGUAAGUGGCCAUGACAACCUUUUUAAUACCUCCACCACAUAACAACGCACAGCAUUUCAAUAUGUGUUAGUGAUAGUGAAAUCCUCUUACAAAACACCAGGAUAGUCUUGUUAUGGUUAACAGUAUUUUCUUACAACUUCCGCUGAUUACUGUUUUCCUUUGCUGAACUUGCAAUACUUCAAUAUCAACCUUAUUCUAGAUUUAAGAUAUUUUUAUGUAGCACCUUUCAUUCUGAAGUACUACAAAGCACAUUUCAAACUAUGGCCCUGAUCCUGCAGUCUGAUUUGUGCAGACAGACUCCUCCACCUGGGUGGGCCGACACUGCCCUUGCAGAGUACUGGUGUGGUGUGCUCCUGGCAAGAAACCAUUCUUAAUAAAUAAGUUGCUGCAUUCUGUACUAGCUUCAGUUUCUGGAUUGAUUUAUGAUUUAGUGCCACACCAGACUCCCCAGUUGUGAAAUAUUAAAAUGACAAAAGUAUGGGUUAAAGUAGCAAGGCCUGACUGCUUCUGAAAGAAAUGUUCAUAUUCUCCUAGUCUGACAGAGAAGGGAAAGAGCCUUUCUAGAUACUGAACAUCUAACAGCAGGUGAGGAUAUAAAAAUACCUCCAGAUGGAGAACUCUAGCAACAAGCUGCUGGAAAACACUUGCAAUGUAAAGAGGCAGAUAUAAUUUUUGAUAGAACUUCUCUCAGACUACCUGUCUCACCUAUGUCUUGUGUACAUUGAGACUGCAGUCAUCCAUGCCCCAAUCUCAGCCACUCACUCACUAAGACAUUCAACAACACUUGCAAAUUAGGAGGAGAGAGAGCGCACGCAAGCCCACACAUGCAUGAUAAAUGUCAUAAGCAUGCCAAAGCAUUACAUCCCAUGCCUCCUAAACUUUUUCAGCUGCUCCCUAUACAUACUGAUCAAGAGACGAUACCACUGGCUGAAGCCAAAGGUCUCCUUCUACCAUUUCAAAAUGAUAAAACUUGAACACUUAUA
This is a long non-coding RNA of Dermochelys coriacea (leatherback sea turtle), 1300 nucleotides long. RefSeq lists it as uncharacterized. The transcript is spliced from 4 exons. The record is from RefSeq and is a predicted model, not a curated record. Lineage: Eukaryota; Metazoa; Chordata; Testudines; Dermochelyidae.